Molecule: long non-coding RNA, 726 nt
Filed under: Salmo salar (Atlantic salmon)
Lineage: Eukaryota; Metazoa; Chordata; Actinopteri; Salmoniformes; Salmonidae
Description: lncRNA (ENSSSAG00000110997.1, ENSSSAG00000114313.1)
Source: RNAcentral
CCGGUAUUCAAUGAAGAGAGAUGCUACGUUACUAGACUCAACAUGAUUAUGCAGACGACUCCGUCGUCUCAAAUAAAACUAUGAAGGACCUCGGCGUUACUCUGGACCCUGAUCUCUCUUUUGACGAACAUAUCAAGACUGUUUCAAGGGGCUGAGUCACUGGCUUACGUGAUCUUCCUGUCUGGGUUGGCGCCCCCCCUUGGGUUGUGCCGUGGCGGAGAUCUUUGUGGGCUAUACUCGGCAUUGUCUCAGGAUGGAUCUGAGCCCUAGGACCAUGCCUCAGGACUACCUGGCCUGAUGACUCCUUGCUGUCCCCAGUCCACCUGGCCGUGCUGCUGCUCCAGUUUCAACUGUUCUGCCUGCGGCUAUGGAACCCUGACCUGUUCACCGGACGGCUAUGAAAAGCCAACUGACAUUUACUCCUGAGGUGCUUACGUGUUGCACCCUCGACAACCACUGAUUAUUAAUUUGUCCAUGCUGGUCAUCUAUGAACUUUUGAUCAUCUUGACCAUGUUCUGUUAUAAUCUCCACCCGGCACAGCCAGAAGAGGACUGGCCAAUCCUCAUAGCCUGGAUCCUCUAGGUUUCUUCCUCAGUUCUGGCCUUUCUAAGGAGUUUUUCCUAGCCACCGUGCUUCUACACCUGCAUUGCUUGGGGUUUUAGGCUGGGUUUCUGUACAGCACUCGAGAUAUCAGCUGAUGUAAGGGCUUUAUAAAUAAAUUUGAUU